RNAcentral lists this long non-coding RNA (1001 nucleotides) under Cyanistes caeruleus (blue tit). RNAcentral describes it as "lncRNA (ENSCCEG00000015914.1)". The record is from RNAcentral. Lineage: Eukaryota; Metazoa; Chordata; Aves; Passeriformes; Paridae.
GGGAAUGGCCAGGUCAGGAUCCCUGGGAUUCCCAACUGGAAUUCCCAGCCGGAAUUCCCAACUGGAAUUCCCUUGGGAAAAGCUUUGGGUGGGAAAGCGCCCUGGGAAUUUCUGCCUGGAAUUGGGGGGGAAUUUUCUCUGGGAAUUUGUGGGAAUUGUGGGAAUUUCCUGUGGGAAUUGUGGGAAUUUUGUCAAGGAAUUUCCUCUGGGAAUUGCGGGGAAUUCAUCAGGAAUUGGGGAGGAUUUCCUUGGGGAAUUUCAUCCAGGAAUUUUUAGGAAAAUUUGGAAAAAUUUGAGAAAAAAAACUGGGAAAUUUUGAGAAAAUUUGGGACAAAACUCUGGGAAAAAUUUGAGAAAAUUUGAGAAAAAUCAGGAAAAUUUGAGAAAAAUCAGGAAAAUUUGAGAAAAUUUGGGAAAAUCUGAGAAAAUUUGGGAAAAAAACUCUGGGAAAAAUUUGAAAAAAAUUGAAAAAAUUGGGAAAAAUUGAGAAAAAAAUUUUGCAAAAUUUGAGAAAAAAAUGGGGAAAAUUUGGGAAAAAACCUGGGAAAAAUUUAAGAAAAUUUGAGAAAAAUGGGGAAAAUUUGGGGAAAUCUGGGAAUCUUGAGCUCGGUUGUGUCCAGUUGAGCCGUUCCCUUUCAUCCCUUUCCCAACUUUUCCCGAGGAUUUUUGGGAUGGGCCCAGCUGGGAUCGCCGCUGAGGGCGGGGAAUCGAUCCAAGGAAAAUCAAAACCCUUGGACUGGAUCCCAGGGAUUCCAUUCCCAGGAAUUCCGGUCAUUCCCGGUGUUUUCCAGGCCAUGUCCGUGCCGGGAAUUCUGGGAUCGCUGCUCCAAGAGGAGGAAAAAUUUUCCUCGUGCCUGGCCCGGCUCGACGCCCUCAUCCUCAAACCUCUGCUCCAGAACCCAACGAUCCGAAGGAAAAAGAGAAUUUCCAGCUCUUGGUGCUGCUCAACGAUCGCUUCCAAGCCCUCUGGAAUUUCACGGAGGAGAAUUCCCGGAUACUGA